Thalassophryne amazonica is the source of this 611-nucleotide long non-coding RNA. RefSeq lists it as uncharacterized. The transcript is spliced from 4 exons. NCBI's taxonomy places the organism in Eukaryota, Metazoa, Chordata, Actinopteri, Batrachoidiformes, Batrachoididae. The record is from RefSeq and is a predicted model, not a curated record.
GAAAACAGAAAAACAGCUUAAUGUUCCUUACAUCAUUAUCAAAAAUGAGCACACUGCACUAAAAUAAUGGACUCUACUGAUAAGCUAUAGCACCCAGUCUAAUGAGCACAGCGGAAAUCCAUUUGACCACACACAGUUAUUUAUGUGGUGCAAAAUCUGAGUGCACACUUGGGCAUUGGGUGAAAUCCCAUCCCACCAUGGCAACUAUAGCCAGAUAGGAGUCAAGGAAGUACUACACAAGGGUCAACAUUCAAAAGUGCUCCAAUCAUAUUGAAAAGUAUAUCACAUUAUUUUCCUGAUCAUAAAGACUCCAAAAAGGUACAGUUUGGACUUUCCAUGACUGAAUGUUAUGGAGUUAUGGAGUAAAAUUCCAGUUUAUACAGAGGUCAAAAAUUAAAGCUGCUCUAAUUUUGGUAAAAAGUGAUGCAAAUUGUUGGUUGAUGUAAUAUGAUUUUAAAAAGACAAUAGUUUGCACCUUCCGUUAUGCUUAGUUAUCACAUUACGGGGUAACAUAUGUCAUAGAAUCCAAUGUAUGUUGACCUUGUUUAACAAUUACUUUGCACACCAAGCAUUCAACAAGGUUAAAAUUAUUCCUUUUCUUAAUCCAAUUA